AUCGUUGUUAAGGGUACCUAAGCGUUGCCAUGUGCGCACUUAAAAUAUUUUGGACUCGCUCACGCAUACUUGCAUAUUUUGUAUAUGAAUAAUAGACUCGAAUUGAAUUGAAUUGAGUAGGUGCAAGGCUCACAAUGAAGCAAAUGAGUACCAAUGUGAGUGCGUGUUGUGUUUCAUAUCAGACGCCAUUCAGCAAAAUAAGUGAAAAUCAUGAGUAACGAGACUGUAUGUUUUUUGCAAGUAAUUCCAACGCAUUCCCACUCAUUCAAUACGUGUUAAUUCGUUUCAAUGUUCUGCGUCCUGCGUUCAGGGUAUAAAUAAAACACGGCACUACGAACCAGAAGUACACUUAAGAGCUCAUCAAGUAAUAUUUUUCUAAGCUGAAAAGUUCUGUCGUCUAAAGACUCGUGGAGGAAAUUUACCACCAACCGAAAACUGAUCUACUGAUCAAUAUAACAGCCGGCGAAGCUUGGGCCGUGUGGCCUUGGCCACGAGUGGAAGUUCACCUCGAGGGUCUGCCACCUCAAGUGUGGAAUUCUUGUAGAACUUUCUCUUUCCAUGGAAUGGGAAAAUGCAGAGGAAUGCCUUUGGCCUAAGUAGCUUCGACGUCAAGGGUAGCCGCUACAAUUUCACCUUUCCAGAAGUAACAAGCACGCAUGUCCCCACUUUAAGCUACAAUGCUCAUAUGUAGAAUUUUGGUGACCACGUGAGCUUCUGCCUAACCUGCAACUUCGGAAUGCUAAUGAGAAAAUAGACCUGCUAAGCCAUCCACCUAUAUAAACAGCAGCACUGUCUAUGUUAUUAAAUCAGCAAGCGAAAGCUUCUCGCAUAUUCAAGUUAUUAAUGGUGCAACGUGGACGGACCAGAUGACACAUUCAAAGGAAGAAGUGACGAGUUUAAAUUUUAAAUGGAGCGCCGACUUUGAACUAGAUGGUGCUGAUUUAAGCUAAAACAUCACUGUCAUAAAUCAUCGUUCACCGACAUCAUUUAAAUUGCAUACGUCUUCAUGUGUUAAAUGCUUUAUUCGCACGUAAGUGGUAUGGUAUCCUCAAUAAGGAAAAGCAAAUUAAAUAAUGACAUGAUCAAUAAAGCAUGCUCUUCUAGCGUAUGAAGUUUCAAAACUUUAAAAAU
Drosophila virilis is the source of this 1131-nucleotide non-coding RNA. The record is from RefSeq and is a predicted model, not a curated record. NCBI's taxonomy places the organism in Eukaryota, Metazoa, Arthropoda, Insecta, Diptera, Drosophilidae.